GGGAGAAGAAGCAUGGCUUAAUGUAGAAUAUCCAUUUUUAUCUUUGUUAUCUUCUUCAUCUCUAUCUUUCCUGUGAAUGGAAAAGCUAGGAGAUACAUAUAUUGAAGAAAGCAAAAUAUUCAAGGGAAAAUGUCGGUGGUUUAGGUCGUCGACCAAUUGUAGAAAUACUUGUAUGGAAUUGGAGAGCGCAAGUAAUGGAGCAUGCUUCUUCGGGAAGUGCGUCUGUAUUUACAAGCGUACGUAAUAAAUCCUUGAGGCCGAGCUAUCCAGAUAUAUACAAUGAGAUUAAUUGA
This is a long non-coding RNA of Alnus glutinosa, 293 nucleotides long. RefSeq lists it as uncharacterized. The transcript has 2 exons. The record is from RefSeq and is a predicted model, not a curated record. NCBI's taxonomy places the organism in Eukaryota, Viridiplantae, Streptophyta, Magnoliopsida, Fagales, Betulaceae.